UGAGGAAUAUUGGGCAAUGCCCGCAAGGGUGACCCAGCAACGCCGCGUGGAGGAUGAAUGUCGUAAGAUUGUAAACUCCUGUUAGAAGGGAAGAAUAACUAAGUUUGGAGCUUAGUAUGACUGUACCCUCAGAGAAAGCCCCGGCUAACUACGUGCCAGCAGCCGCGGUAAUACGAAGGGGGCUAGCGUUGCUCGGAAUUACUGGGCGUAAAGCGCACGUAGGCGGACUUUUAAGUCGAGGGUGAAAUCCUGGAGCUCAACUCCAGAACUGCCUUCGAAACUGAAAGUCUUGAGUUCGGGAGAGGUGAGUGGAACUGCGAGUGUAGAGGUGAAAUUCGUAGAUAUUCGCAAGAACACCUGUGUCGAAGGCGGCUCACUGGCCCGAUACUGACGCUGAGGUGCGAAAGCGUGGGGAGCAAACA
This 422-nucleotide ribosomal RNA is filed under the name uncultured bacterium. Its description in RNAcentral is "bacterial SSU rRNA". It matches the Rfam family "Bacterial small subunit ribosomal RNA", at positions 355 to 774 of the family's 1533-position model. The record is from RNAcentral.